AGUAGUUCGGGCCAUGGAGGCGGAGCCGCCGCUCUACCCGAUGGCGGGGGCUGCGGGGCCGCAGGGCGACGAGGACCGGCUCGGGGUCCCGGACGGGCCCGAGGCCCCGCUGGACGAGCUGGUGGGCGCGUACCCCAACUACAACGAGGAGGAGGAGGAGCGCCGCUACUACCGCCGCAAGCGCCUGGGCGUGCUCAAGAACGUGCUGGCUGCCAGCGCCGGAGGCAUGCUCACCUACGGCGUCUACCUGGGUAGGUGCCGCUCGGGGACCCGGGGCCGCCCCGCCCGCUCCCAGCCCGGCCCGGGAAACAGAAACCGCGGGCCGCCGCCUCCCGCCCGCUCUCACUUCCCCUCCGCUGCCCUCGCAGCUGCAGCCACGGCCCCGCGCGGCGGGGGUGGGGUUGGGGGGUCAAGUAGCGCAGCGUCCCCGGGUCCCAGCCAGAGCCUCGGUGUGGGUGGGGGACAGGGGUCCGGGCUCCCGGACAGACCUGCCACCUUCAGAAUUGGAGGCCGGCGGAGCAAGGCGGGUGGGGGUCUGGGCUUAGCUGGCCAAGUGGCCGCGGGCUGGCAGAAGGCGUGGCGCAGCCCGGGAACCCGGCUGUCCUGAGGGGCGCUGUCAGCGGGAAUGCCUUCGGUGAUUGGAGCUCCCUGCGAGGCCUGCAUGCCGUCUUCUGCUCGGUGGCGCCCAAAGCCAGGCUGCUCCCUGCACGCCGCUCUCUGUCCUGUCCCCAGGCCUCCUGCAGAUGCAGCUGAUCCUGCACUACGACGAGACCUACCGCGAGGUGAAGUAUGGCAACAUGGGGCUGCCCGACAUCGACAGCAAAAUGCUGAUGGGCAUCAACGUGACUCCCAUCGCCGCCCUGCUCUACACACCUGUGCUCAUCAGGUUUUUCGGAACGAAGUGGAUGAUGUUCCUCGCUGUGGGCAUCUACGCCCUCUUUGUCUCCACCAACUACUGGGAGCGCUACUACACACUUGUGCCCUCGGCUGUGGCCCUGGGCAUGGCCAUCGUGCCUCUUUGGGCUUCCAUGGGCAACUACAUCACCAGGAUGGCGCAGAAGUACCACGAGUACUCCCACUACAAGGAGCAGGAUGGGCAGGGGAUGAAGCAGCGGCCUCCGCGGGGCUCCCACGCGCCCUAUCUCCUGGUCUUCCAAGCCAUCUUCUACAGCUUCUUCCAUCUGAGCUUCGCCUGCGCCCAGCUGCCCAUGAUUUAUUUCCUGAACCACUACCUGUAUGACCUGAACCACACGCUGUACAAUGUGCAGAGCUGCG
Molecule: small RNA, 1275 nt
Filed under: Pan troglodytes (chimpanzee)
Lineage: Eukaryota; Metazoa; Chordata; Mammalia; Primates; Hominidae
Description: retained intron
Source: RNAcentral